RNAcentral lists this ribosomal RNA (468 nucleotides) under uncultured bacterium. RNAcentral describes it as "partial 16S ribosomal RNA". It matches the Rfam family "Bacterial small subunit ribosomal RNA", at positions 28 to 507 of the family's 1533-position model. The record is from RNAcentral.
GACGAACGCUGGCGGCGUGCUUAACACAUGCAAGUCGAACGGAAAGGCCCUGCUUUUGUGGGGUGCUCGAGUGGCGAACGGGUGAGUAACACGUGAGUAACCUGCCCUUGACUUUGGGAUAACUUCAGGAAACUGGGGCUAAUACCGGAUAGGAGCUCCUGCUGCAUGGUGGGGGUUGGAAAGUUUCGGCGGUUGGGGAUGGACUCGCGGCUUAUCAGCUUGUUGGUGGGGUAGUGGCUUACCAAGGCUUUGACGGGUAGCCGGCCUGAGAGGGUGACCGGCCACAUUGGGACUGAGAUACGGCCCAGACGCCUACGGGAGGCAGCAGUGGGGAAUAUUGCACAAUGGGCAGAAGCCUGAUGCAGCAACGCCGCGUGCGGGAUGACGGCCUUCGGGUUGUAAACCGCUUUCGCCUGUGACGAAGCGUGAGUGACGGUAAUGGGUAAAGAAGCACCGGCUAACUACGUG